UACAGAGGGGGCAAGCGUUGUUCGGAAUUACUGGGCGUAAAGCGUGCGCAGGCGGUUCGUUAAGUCAGCUGUGAAAGCCCCGGGCUCAACCUGGGAAUUGCGGUUGAAACUGGCGAACUAGAAUCUGGCAGAGGGGGGUGGGAUUCCACGUGUAGCAGUGAAAUGCGUAGAGAUGUGGAGGAACACCGAUGGCGAAGGCAGCCUUCUGGGCCAACACUGACGCUCAUGCACGAAAGCGUGGGGAGCAAACAGG
Molecule: ribosomal RNA, 253 nt
Filed under: uncultured bacterium
Lineage: Bacteria
Description: partial 16S ribosomal RNA
Rfam family: Bacterial small subunit ribosomal RNA
Source: RNAcentral